RNAcentral lists this ribosomal RNA (448 nucleotides) under uncultured bacterium. RNAcentral's name for it is "SSU rRNA". It matches the Rfam family "Bacterial small subunit ribosomal RNA", at positions 26 to 518 of the family's 1533-position model. The record is from RNAcentral.
AGAUUGAACGCUGGCGGCAUGCCUAACACAUGCAAGUCGAACGGAGUAGCAAUACUUAGUGGCGGACGGGUGAGUAACGCGUGAGAAUCUACCUUCAGGACGGAGACAACAGUUGGAAACGACUGCUAACCCCCGAUGUACUGAAAAGGCAAAUAUUUAUAGCCUGAAGAAGAGCUCGCGUCCGAUUAGCUAGUUGGAGAGGUAAAAGCUCACCAAGGCGACGAUCGGUAGCUGGUCUGAGAGGACGAUCAGCCACACUGGGACUGAGACACGGCCCAGACUCCUACGGGAGGCAGCAGUGGGGAAUUUUCCGCAAUGGGCGAAAGCCUGACGGAGCAAGACCGCGUGGGGGAAGAAGGCUCUUGGGUUGUAAACCCCUUUUCUCUGGGAAGAACGCAAUGACGGUACCAGAGGAAUCAGCAUCGGCUAACUCCGUGCCAGCAGCCGC